CCUACGGGUGGCUGCAGUGAGGAAUAUUGGUCAAUGGACGCAAGUCUGAACCAGCCAUGCCGCGUGCAGGAAGACGGCUCUAUGAGUUGUAAACUGCUUUUGUACGAGGGUAAACGCAGAUACGCGUAUCUGUCUGAAAGUAUCGUACGAAUAAGGAUCGGCUAACUCCGUGCCAGCAGCCGCGGUAAUACGGAGGAUUCAAGCGUUAUCCGGAUUUAUUGGGUUUAAAGGGUGCGUAGACGGCCAGACAAGUCAGAAGUGAAAGCCCAAGGCUCAACCCUGGAAUUGCCUCUGAAACUGUCGGGCUAGAGUGCAGUAGCGGUAGGCGGAAUGUAUGGUGUAGCGGUGAAAUGCUUAGAUAUCAUACGGAACACCGAUUACGAAGGCAGCUUAC
RNAcentral lists this ribosomal RNA (394 nucleotides) under uncultured bacterium. RNAcentral describes it as "partial 16S ribosomal RNA". It matches the Rfam family "Bacterial small subunit ribosomal RNA", at positions 338 to 729 of the family's 1533-position model. The record is from RNAcentral.